RNAcentral lists this signal recognition particle RNA (322 nucleotides) under Candidatus Woesearchaeota archaeon. Its description in RNAcentral is "signal recognition particle sRNA". It matches the Rfam family "Archaeal signal recognition particle RNA". The record is from RNAcentral. Lineage: Archaea; Nanobdellati; Candidatus Woesearchaeota.
UGGCAGGCUAGGCUGGGAGGUUAGUCGUCUCCUGUUACCAUCAACCGACUUACGAUGGAGCUGAAGCCUGAAGAGAGGUUUAUCCAGGAUAUCUUGGUCUUGGCUUGGACUAUGAUACUCUGUCCCUAUGGAUUGGCCUUCGAGGGAAUCGGGUCACGCGCUAGAAUCAAAGAUUCGUUGGUCUCGUGCCUGCGCGCCCGAGAGGCUGGGAACAGAGCAGCCCUAACCACCUAGGUCGGUGCUAUAGGGGUAGCGGAGUUGAGAAAAAGUCAAGGUUCAACCAAGGCGUUUUGGGUGGAUCCAUCUUCGGGCGUGCCUGCCU